Molecule: ribosomal RNA, 253 nt
Filed under: uncultured bacterium
Lineage: Bacteria
Description: partial 16S ribosomal RNA
Rfam family: Bacterial small subunit ribosomal RNA
Source: RNAcentral
UACAGAGGGCUCAAGCGUUGUUCGGAUUCAUUGGGCGUAAAGGGUGCGUAGGCGGCGCGGUAAGUCGGGUGUGAAAUCUCGGAGCUUAACUCCGAAACUGCAUUCGAUACUGCCGUGCUUGAGGACUGGAGAGGAGACUGGAAUUUACGGUGUAGCGGUGAAAUGCGUAGAUAUCGUAAGGAAGAUCAGUGGCGAAGGCGGGUCUCUGGACAGUUCCUGACGCUGAGGCACGAAGGUCAGGGGAGCAAACGGG